This 195-nucleotide ribosomal RNA is filed under the name uncultured bacterium. Its description in RNAcentral is "partial 16S ribosomal RNA". It matches the Rfam family "Bacterial small subunit ribosomal RNA", at positions 328 to 544 of the family's 1533-position model. The record is from RNAcentral.
ACGCUCGACACCUACGAGAGGCAGCAGUGGGGAAUAUUGCACAAUGGGGGAAACCCUGAUGCAGCGACGCCGCGUGGAGGAAGAAGGUCUUCGGAUUGUAAACUCCUGUUGUUGGGGAAAAAGNGGAUGGUACCCAACAAGGAAGUGACGGCUAACUACGUGCCGANNCGCGGAGUAUCGNGCGGCGUGNGAGAG